GAUGAACGCUGGCGGCGUGCCUAAUACAUGCAAGUCGAGCGCAUGGACGAAGAUCUUGCCUCCCUGCUGUUAAGGGCGGAAGGGGGGGGAAAACGUGGGAAACCCUCCUUUAAGACUGGGAUAACUAUGGGAAACCGUAGCCAAAAACGGAAAAAAUUUUAAUCUGCAAGGUUAAAAAGUGAAAAACGGCCUUGCCGUCACCUAUAGAUGGAUCCGCGGUGCAUUAGCUAGUUGGUAAGGUAACGGCCUACCAAGGCAACGAUGCAUAGCCGACUUGAGAGGGUGAUCGGCCACACUGGAACUGAGACACGGUCCAGACUCCUACGGGAGGCAGCAGUAGGGAAUCUUCCGCAAAGGGCGAAAGCCUGACGGAGCAACGCCGCGUGAGUGAUGAAGGUCUUCGGAUCGUAAAGCACUGUUAUUAGGGAAGAACAGAUGUGUAAGUAACUGUGCUCAGCUUGACGGUACCAUAUCAGAAAGCCACGGCUAACUACGUG
This 497-nucleotide ribosomal RNA is filed under the name uncultured bacterium. RNAcentral describes it as "partial 16S ribosomal RNA". It matches the Rfam family "Bacterial small subunit ribosomal RNA", at positions 28 to 507 of the family's 1533-position model. The record is from RNAcentral.